AUGGGGCGUGAGCUAACCAGUGCACCGCGAGCCCGAGCCCUGUUGCCGGCCCCUGUGGCCCCGGCCAAUGGAGACAAUGAGGGCUGUGGAGAGGAGAUGGCCUUGACGCUGCCCGACAAUGCAAAAAGCAUCGUUGCUGGCAUGGGCAACGGGCUGACCAAUGCACCGCGAGCUGUGUUGUGGGCCUUCGCUGCUGACAACAAUGACGAAGAGGAGUUGGCCCCCCAGACGCCGCCGACUGUCACCAAAGCCCUCGACUCCGAAGGGAUUUGCAUGGGCCAUGACACAGACACAAGUGAGGGUUGGCAGGAAGUGCUACCGCGGCACGGCCCGCGUCGUUUGACUUCGUCGCCAUCCUCGAUGAUGGCUCCUCGUCCUCCUCGUCCCAUCCCUGCUUGGCUCCAUGGUAGGUGCUGUAGAUGCCUUGCUUAUGGGCAUCGUGCGGUGGUUUGCAGAGAUCCGUUGCGGUGCUCCCGUUGUUUGGAGAAUGGUCAUCGUGCGCGUGAAUGUCGCAACCCCUGGCGUCCUCUGAGCUCAUUUAUCAUGCCUUGA
This 552-nucleotide ribosomal RNA is filed under the name Triticum aestivum (bread wheat). RNAcentral describes it as "partial small subunit ribosomal RNA". Lineage: Eukaryota; Viridiplantae; Streptophyta; Magnoliopsida; Poales; Poaceae. The record is from RNAcentral.